AGUCGAGGGGCAGCAUAAUGGAUAGCAAUAUCUAUGGUGGCGACCGGCGCACGGGUGCGUAACGCGUAUGCAACCUACCUUUAACAGGGGGAUAACACUGAGAAAUUGGUACUAAUACCCCAUAAUAUCAUAGAAGGCAUCUUUUAUGGUUGAAAAUUCCGAUGGUUAGAGAUGGGCAUGCGUUGUAUUAGCUAGUUGGUGGGGUAACGGCUCACCAAGGCGACGAUACAUAGGGGGACUGAGAGGUUAACCCCCCACACUGGUACUGAGACACGGACCAGACUCCUACGGGAGGCAGCAGUGAGGAAUAUUGGUCAAUGGACGCAAGUCUGAACCAGCCAUGCCGCGUGCAGGAUGACGGCUCUAUGAGUUGUAAACUGCUUUUGUACGAGGGUAAACGCAGAUACGUGUAUCUGUCUGAAAGUAUCGUACGAAUAAGGAUCGGCUAACUCCGUGCCAGCAGCCGCGGUAAUACGGAGGAUUCAAGCGUUAUCCGGAUUUAUUGGGUUUAAAGGGUGCGUAGGCGGUUUGAUAAGUUAGAGGUGAAAUUUCGGGGCUCAACCCUGAACGUGCCUCUAAUACUGUUGAGCUAGAGAGUAGUUGCGGUAGGCGGAAUGUAUGGUGUAGCGGUGAAAUGCUUAGAGAUCAUACAGAACACCGAUUGCGAAGGCAGCUUACCAAACUAUAUCUGACGUUGAGGCACGAAAGCGUGGGGAGCAAACAGGAUUAGAUACCCUGGUAGUCCACGCAGUAAACGAUGAUAACUCGUUGUCGGCGAUACACAGUCGGUGACUAAGCGAAAGCGAUAAGUUAUCCACCUGGGGAGUACGUUCGCAAGAAUGAAACUCAAAGGAAUUGACGGGGGCCCGCACAAGCGGAGGA
Molecule: ribosomal RNA, 882 nt
Filed under: uncultured bacterium
Lineage: Bacteria
Description: bacterial SSU rRNA
Rfam family: Bacterial small subunit ribosomal RNA
Source: RNAcentral